ACCCAAGGAUGGUUUGAUCUUCAGAGC
RNAcentral lists this non-coding RNA (27 nucleotides) under Homo sapiens (human). The record is from RNAcentral. Lineage: Eukaryota; Metazoa; Chordata; Mammalia; Primates; Hominidae.